CGGGACGGGUGAGUAAUGUCUGGGAAACUGCCUGAUGGAGGGGGAUAACUACUGGAAACGGUAGCUAAUACCGCAUAACGUCGCAAGACCGAAGAGGGGGACCUUCGGGCCUCUUGCCAUCGGAUGUGCCCAGAUGGGAUUAGCUAGUAGGUGGGGUAACGGCUCACCUAGGCGACGAUCCCUAGCUGGUCUGAGAGGAUGACCAGCCACACUGGAACUGAGACACGGUCCAG
Molecule: ribosomal RNA, 233 nt
Filed under: uncultured bacterium
Lineage: Bacteria
Description: partial 16S ribosomal RNA
Rfam family: Bacterial small subunit ribosomal RNA
Source: RNAcentral